UGGGGAAUUUUGGACAAUGGGCGCAAGCCUGAUCCAGCCAUGCCGCGUGAGUGAAGAAGGCCUUCGGGUUGUAAAGCUCUUUCGGCGGGGACGAAACGGUUCGUGCCAACACCACGGACUAAUGACGGUACUCGCAGAAGAAGCACCGGCUAACUACGUGCCAGCAGCCGCGGUAAUACGUAGGGUGCAGGCGUUAAUCGGAAUUACUGGGCGUAAAGCGUGCGCAGGCGGCUCCUUAAGUCAGAUGUGAAAGCCCCGGGCUUAACCUGGGAACUGCGUUUGAAACUGGGGAGCUGGAGUGUAGAAGAGGGGGGUGGAAUUCCAGGUGUAGCAGUGAAAUGCGUAGAGAUCUGGAGGAACACCGAUGGCGAAGGCAGCCCCCUGGGCUAACACUGACGCUCAUGCACGAAAGCGUGGGGAGCAAACAGGAUUAGAUACCCCUGUAGUCC
This 449-nucleotide ribosomal RNA is filed under the name uncultured bacterium. Its description in RNAcentral is "bacterial SSU rRNA". It matches the Rfam family "Bacterial small subunit ribosomal RNA", at positions 355 to 796 of the family's 1533-position model. The record is from RNAcentral.